This 253-nucleotide ribosomal RNA is filed under the name uncultured bacterium. RNAcentral's name for it is "partial 16S ribosomal RNA". It matches the Rfam family "Bacterial small subunit ribosomal RNA", at positions 524 to 776 of the family's 1533-position model. The record is from RNAcentral.
UACAGAGGGGGCAAGCGUUGUUCGGAAUUACUGGGCGUAAAGGGCGCGUAGGCGGCCUGUUAAGUCGAACGUGAAAUCCCCGGGCUCAACCCGGGAACUGCGUCCGAAACUGGCAGGCUCGAAUUCGGGAGAGGGAUGCGGAAUUCCAGGUGUAGCGGUGAAAUGCGCAGAUAUCAGGAGGAACACCGGUGGCGAAGGCGGGUCUCUGGGCCGAUAUUGACGCUGAGGAGCGAAAGCGUGGGGAGCGAACAGG